AGAGUUUGAUUAUGGCUCAGGACGAACGCUGGCGGCGUGCCUAACACAUGCAAGUCGAACGAAGCUCAAAUCGAUUUGAUUCGUCAGAUCGAGAUGAUGACUUAGUGGCGAACGGGUGAGUAACGCGUGAGCAACCUGCCUCGGAGUGGGGGACAACAGUUGGAAACGACUGCUAAUACCGCAUGACAUAUACGAAAGGCAUCUUUUGUAUAUCAAAGAUUUAUUGCUCUGAGAUGGGCUCGCGUCUGAUUAGAUAGUUGGCGGGUAACGGCCCACCAAGUCGACGAUCAGUAGCCGGACUGAGAGGUUGAACGGCCACAUUGGGACUGAGAUACGGCCCAGACUCCUACGGGAGGCAGCAGUGGGGAAUAUUGGGCAAAUGGGGGAAACCCUGACCCAGCAACGCCGCGUGAAGGAAGAAGGCCUUCGGGUUGUAAACUUCUUUUGUUGAGGACGAAGAAAGUGACGGUACUCGACGAAUAAGCUACGGCUAACUACGUGCCAGCCGCGGC
RNAcentral lists this ribosomal RNA (512 nucleotides) under uncultured bacterium. RNAcentral describes it as "bacterial SSU rRNA". It matches the Rfam family "Bacterial small subunit ribosomal RNA", at positions 8 to 518 of the family's 1533-position model. The record is from RNAcentral.